Long non-coding RNA from Ictalurus punctatus (channel catfish), 4345 nucleotides. RefSeq lists it as uncharacterized. The transcript is spliced from 2 exons. NCBI's taxonomy places the organism in Eukaryota, Metazoa, Chordata, Actinopteri, Siluriformes, Ictaluridae. The record is from RefSeq and is a predicted model, not a curated record.
CCUAACUCCUAACAUUAGCCUAGCAUAGCUUAGCUUAGCCAGGCUAGCUUCCUCUGUCCUCAGGGGGGCUGCUACGUGAAUCCAGGCUUUGAGAUUUAACAUGCUUCUGUUUACGUGUGUGUGUGUCAUGUCAUUCUGGUUUGUCUGUUAAUGCGGUGGAAUUCACGUUAGAGCUUCGGAACAGAUGUAUUUCCAUUAAACUGAGCAGAGGAUUGUUGUUGCUGUUGUUGGGUUUUUUUUGUUUGUUUUUUUCCGUUUGGCAGAAGACGCCCUUGCCAGGUUUGUUUAUGAAUUAUGAAGGCAGGAAGUAGUUGUGCAGACUUGUUUAGACUCGCCUGAUUUUCAGGGGGUUUUUUUCCCCCCACUUCUUCACUUGUACCUCUGUUUCACUGUAUCUGUUUAUUGCUUGAGUUCCUACUUGUUUUUAAUCCCCCCCCCCUCUCUUGUGCACUGUUUGAGUUAUUGUUUUUGCCAAGACGCGCAUGCUUGUGGUUUUUAUCUAUCCCCCCCCUUCCUCUCCCUCUUUCUCUCUCUCGCUCCCUCCCUCACUCUGAGUGUGGGUGCACUCUAUGCUGACAGCAGUGUUCUCAAGCAGCUGUGUUCAGGUACAGACCCACGAGCGGAAACCCCACAAGCCAGCGAAAGGGCAGGGGCUUGUACAGUGUGUUCAGUUUCAUGCUCAGUCAUACUGAAACUGUGCACUGUGCUAGCAAAGGGAAGAGCUGUGUGCCUGUAUACACGUUCCAGUCUGAGAUGACUAUAUUGUCAAAAUACAACACAUCCAGACAGUGUGGGUGUAUGUAUGUGUGUAUGUAUGUAUGUAUGUAUGUAUGUAUGUAUGUAUGUAUGUAUGUAAAGAUUACCAUUCAAGGAAAUUUAGAUGUACAAAACCCACAAGUUAGACAUUUAAUAUGAGCACCAUCCAAGUGAUAAUCCAAAUGUCGCCAUAAACACAGCAACACGUCCACAUCAGUGCUUUUAAUAGUGGCUGUGAUUCUUGCCUUCAGGUUAUGAAAUGAAAAUGAGAAAACUUAUUAAAAACUAGGUCUUCAGAAAAACAGUUUCUCCACAAAAUGGGACGAUACCCGGAUUUUUACACCUCUUUCUUAACUUUUUACACUGAUUAGCUAUAAUAUUAAAACCACUGGCAAGUGAAGUGAAUAACAUUGAUUAUUUCAUUACAUUGGCACCUGUCGAGGGGUGGGAUAUAUUUAUUAGGCAUCAAGUGAACAGUCAGUUCUUGAAGUUGAUGUGUUGGAAGCAGGAAAAAUGGGCAAGGGUAAGGAUCUGAGCGACUUUGACAAGGGCCAAAUUGUGAAGAAUAGACGGCCGGGUCAGUGCAUCUCCGAAACAGCAGGUCUUAUGGCCACCUACCAAAUGUGGUCCAAGGCAGGACAACUGGUGAACCGGCGACAGGGUCAUGGGUGCUGCCCGAGGCUCAUAGUUGUCCGUGGGGAGGCGGGGCCAGCCUGUCUGGUCCGAUCCCAUAGAAGAGCUACUGUAGCACAAAAUGCUGGCUUUGGUAGUAAGGUGUCAGUACACACAAUACAUUGCCGCUUACUGCAUAGCCGUAGACCGGUCAGAGUGCCCAUGCUGACCCGGUCCACUGCUGAAAGCACCUACAAUGGGCACAUGAGUAUCAGAACUGGACCAUGGAGGAAUGGAAGAAGGUGACCUGGUCUGAUGAAUUGCGUUUUCUUUUACAUCAUGUGGAUGACUGGGUGCGUGUGAGUCGCUUAUCUGGGAGGAAAUGGCACCAGGAUGCGCUAUGGGAAGAAGACAAGCCGGCGGUGGCAGUGUGAUACCCUGGGAAAUGUUCUGCUGGCAUUCAUGUGGAUGUUACUUUGACAGAUCUCAAUCCGAUUGAGCAUCUGUGGGAUGUACUGGACAAACAAGUCCGAUCCAUGGAGACACCACCUCACAACUUACAGGACUUAAAGGAUCUGCUGCUAAAGUCUUGGUGCCAGACACCACAGCACACCUUCAGAGGUCUUGUGGAGUCCUCUGAAGUCAGAGCUAUUUUGGUGGCACAAGGCACUGAUCGGUGUAUAUUGAAUAAAAGUUGUAUAUUUUGGUUAAAAUUCGUUUCUAAGAUGAAUGCAAAUAUUGAAUCUAAUUCCUAUAUUUAAAUUUAUUUGUGAAGUAUCCUGGUGUCCCCUCAAACCAAUGGUUUUAAUUUAAACCUUAUUUUCUCUGUCUAUUUGGGAACUUUAAGACAUGCCAUCAGAAAUACUGCAAAGAAUUUAAAAUGAAGUAGGUUGAGUUUGUUUAACAAUUUUCUGGGUCAUUACAUAAUUCCCUGUGUGUUAUUUCCUUGUCCUUGUAAAGCAGGAUGUCAAUCAUACAGCCCAAUAAAGUUUCUUAUAUUGACACAAAAUGAAUUUUAAAUCUGUGUUCUAAAUAUAAAUCAUCCGGUGGUGCCUGAUUAAAUUUAAUGAUUAAAAAACAGAGUUUGUCUAGAGUGUAAUUCCACUAGGGAGACAGAUAAACUCAGGGCCAUAAACUCAGCUACUGACAAAUGUAUUUUUUUUAUUGGCAAGCUAAAACAUUUGUCGCUAUAAUGAUGUUUUUUAUUGUUUGUUUGUUUUCUUCAAACUGUUUAAUUUAGGGGGGUUGACAACAACAGUGAAUACGUUUUAUUUGUACCUUUUUAGAUUUCCCCACACAAAGUCCCUGCCCAUUUUCACAAAUCUCCACCCCCAGGAUAUACAGUAUAGUAGCCAGUAGAGUGUCUACAAAAGGAUCAACAGGAGGCUUAUCUAAACAAAAACAAGAAUUCCUGACUGGAAGUCAGUUUUCCCCAAACAGUUUUCCAGCCACUUGGUACACUUGUGCUGAGGUCAUGUCUUAAAACAGUAUCUUUUAAUCAUCUUCUAAAUAUCGUUCAGGUUAUUUGUACAAGUAAGAGUUAUUUUAAUCGACUAUUGCAUUUAAGAGGAUUUACUGAUGUGGCAUCGGUGUACUACAGGAGUUUGACACCUCUGAUCUAAAGGGGCAAGUGGACCCAAUCCCUUCCACUAAAUUUCUCUCCACAGCCUUACAGAACCACACAUUUUUCUUUUCGUUGUUCGCCAUAUUUCCGAAAGUAUAUAUUAAAGUUAAGAUAUAUUAAGUAUAUAUUAUAAUAUAUCUAAUAAUUAUUAGUAUAUAUUAAGAUACUUUCCGACUUAACUAUAUGAACAAACAAUGCUAAUAACACAUUACUAUGUGUUUUUAUUUUUUGCCCAGCCUAAGAUUCUUGAGUAUAAUAUGACGUCAACUCAAAAUGUAAACAGUAUGAGUGAAAAUAAUUAGCAUAAUAAUGUAAUUAAUAUAGCAUAAUAUAACAUGCCUGGGUAACUGUCACUCUCUUUUCCAUUCAUGCAGUUAAAUCAGAGUAGGGGGAACAGAUUGGUCUGAAUAAAUCUUAAGAUACUUUGUGUAAAAAGUCAAAACUGUAAUGAAAACAUUUCUCAUCUGAAUAGACUACAGGCAUUAAUCACUUCCACGUCUGUGUGUUAUUUACUAUGACUGCAUGUACACCACUUUUGUGAGUUAUUGACUCAUUGUAUGCUAAUAGCCUACGCCCACAGGGUAGCAGGUGAUUAGCAUUAAGCAGGCCUGGUCUCACUGAUGGUGCAGUCUGAUCAGGCGCACACUGGUGAUAAACUAAUCCCCGUUUUCCCAUACGCCCUUGACUCUUCAUUAGCAAGGCUUGUUUGGAAGAAGCAGAAACAGUAGCUGAACAGUAGAGCUCGUCCAGUCCUCUGGAGAAAUCACUGUAGCUGUAAGUUGACGCGGAGGUACGUAGACGAGCCGGGUGCGUUAUUGUGUACAGCUCUUCUGCAUAUACAGCAGUCGUGUUUCUGUGUGACUUAAAUGUGUGUAUAGGGAAGGAAAGGUUUUCUGAUUUGAUAUCAUCUGUCGUUACGACGAUCAAAUAUGGAAAAUAGUGAACGGAAAGUAAGAGUGGUCAUUAUCGCGUUUUUCCCUUUGUCCUACCUUGUUAACCAGCACUAAGUAUGAUCUUCAAACUCGGAUUAUGAAUCUUGAAACCUGAUUUGCUGAGCUGAGUUUGGAGGUCUUGUAACAUCCUCUAUACAAACACACACACACACACACACACACACACCUGUGAUUACAGUAAUUGAACAAGUUUUAAACAAGAAAUUCAUUAUACUAAAUGACUGACCACUGUCCUGUCCAUAUAAUACCCUAAUACAGGUAUUUUUCUGAUAUAUUGCUUAGCAACCAAAGCGUAAUGUUAUCUGACCACUUUGUUUAGUGAAAGAGUUUUUUAUUACAAAAAAAAAAAAAAAAAAAAGUUGAGUAACUUACAACAGAUGAUAAGGUUAUAUGAAAAUAA